AUUGAACGCUGGCGGCAUGCUUUACACAUGCAAGUCGAACGGUAACAGGCCUUCGGGUGCUGACGAGUGGCGAACGGGUGAGUAAUGCAUCGGAACGUACCCAGAGGUGGGGGAUAACGCAGCGAAAGCUGUGCUAAUACCGCAUGUGAUCUGAGGAUGAAAGCGGGGGACCGAGCAGCAAUGUUUGGCCUCGCGCCUUUGGAGCGGCCGAUGUCGGAUUAGCUAGUUGGUGGGGUAAAGGCCUACCAAGGCGACGAUCCGUAGCUGGUCUGAGAGGACGAUAAGCCACACUGGGACUGAGACACGGCCCAGACUCCUACGGGAGGGAGCAGUGGGGAAUUUUGGACAAUGGGCGCAAGCCUGAUCCAGCAAUGCCGCGUGCGGGAAGAAGGCCUUCGGGUUGUAAACCGCUUUUGGCAGGAACGAAACGGUGUCCGCUAAUACCGGGCGCUAAUGACGGUACCUGCAGAAUAAGCACCGGCUAACUACGUG
RNAcentral lists this ribosomal RNA (492 nucleotides) under uncultured bacterium. Its description in RNAcentral is "partial 16S ribosomal RNA". It matches the Rfam family "Bacterial small subunit ribosomal RNA", at positions 29 to 507 of the family's 1533-position model. The record is from RNAcentral.